This 644-nucleotide ribosomal RNA is filed under the name uncultured Lachnospiraceae bacterium. Its description in RNAcentral is "bacterial SSU rRNA". It matches the Rfam family "Bacterial small subunit ribosomal RNA", at positions 90 to 751 of the family's 1533-position model. Lineage: Bacteria; Bacillati; Bacillota; Clostridia; Lachnospirales; Lachnospiraceae. The record is from RNAcentral.
AGCGAGUGGCGAACGGGUGAGUAACGCGUGAGGAACCUGCCUCAAAGAGGGGGACAACAGUUGGAAACGACUGCUAAUACCGCAUAAGCCCACGGCUCGGCAUCGAGCAGGGGGAAAAGGAGCAAUCCGCUUUGAGAUGGCCUCGCGUCCGAUUAGCUAGUUGGUGAGGUAACGGCCCACCAAGGCAACGAUCGGUAGCCGGACUGAGAGGUUGAACGGCCACAUUGGGACUGAGACACGGCCCAGACUCCUACGGGAGGCAGCAGUGGGGAAUAUUGCACAAUGGGGGAAACCCUGAUGCAGCGACGCCGCGUGGAGGAAGAAGGUCUUCGGAUUGUAAACUCCUGUUGUUGGGGAAGAUAAUGACGGUACCCAACAAGGAAGUGACGGCUAACUACGUGCCAGCAGCCGCGGUAAAACGUAGGUCACAAGCGUUGUCCGGAAUUACUGGGUGUAAAGGGAGCGCAGGCGGGAAGACAAGUUGGAAGUGAAAUCUAUGGGCUCAACCCAUAAACUGCUUUCAAAACUGUUUUUCUUGAGUAGUGCAGAGGUAGGCGGAAUUCCCGGUGUAGCGGUGGAAUGCGUAGAUAUCGGGAGGACACCAGUGGCGAAGGCGGCCUACUGGGCACCAACUGACGCUGAGG